RNAcentral lists this ribosomal RNA (433 nucleotides) under uncultured bacterium. RNAcentral describes it as "partial 16S ribosomal RNA". It matches the Rfam family "Bacterial small subunit ribosomal RNA", at positions 29 to 507 of the family's 1533-position model. The record is from RNAcentral.
AACGAACGCUGGCGGCAUGCCUAACACAUGCAAGUCGAACGAGACCUUCGGGUCUAGUGGCGCACGGGUGCGUAACGCGUGGGAACCUGCCCUUAGGUUCGGAAUAACUCCCCGAAAGGGGUGCUAAUACCGGAUAAUGUCUUCGGACCAAAGAUUUAUCGCCUUUGGAUGGGCCCGCGUUGGAUUAGCUAGUUGGUAGGGUAAAAGCCUACCAAGGCGACGAUCCAUAGCUGGUCUGAGAGGAUGAUCAGCCACACUGGGACUGUGACACGGCCCAGACUCCUACGGGAGGCAGCAGUGGGGAAUAUUGGACAAUGGGCGAAAGCCUGAUCCAGCAAUGCCGCGUGAGUGAUGAAGGCCUUAGGGUUGUAAAGCUCUUUUACCCGGGAUGAUAAUGACAGUACCGGGAGAAUAAGCGCCGGCUAACUCCGUG